CCUACGGGAGGCAGCAGUGAGGAAUAUUGGUCAAUGGACGCAAGUCUGAACCAGCCAUGCCGCGUGCAGGAAGACGGCUCUAUGAGUUGUAAACUGCUUUUGUACGAGGGUAAACGCAGAUACGCGUAUCUGUCUGAAAGUAUCGUACGAAUAAGGAUCGGCUAACUCCGUGCCAGCAGCCGCGGUAAUACGGAGGAUUCAAGCGUUAUCCGGAUUUAUUGGGUUUAAAGGGUGCGUAGGCGGUCGGAUAAGUUAGAGGUGAAAUCCCGAGGCUCAACUUCGGAAUUGCCUCUGAUACUGUACGGCUAGAGAGUAGUUGCGGUAGGCGGAAUGUAUGGUGUAGCGGUGAAAUGCUUAGAGAUCAUACAGAACACCGAUUGCGAAGGCAGCUUACCAAGCUACAUCUGACGUUGAGGCACGAAAGCGUGGGGAGCAAACAGGAUUAGAUACCCGGGUAGUC
This 460-nucleotide ribosomal RNA is filed under the name uncultured bacterium. RNAcentral's name for it is "partial 16S ribosomal RNA". It matches the Rfam family "Bacterial small subunit ribosomal RNA", at positions 338 to 795 of the family's 1533-position model. The record is from RNAcentral.